AGGUUUGAACAGUGGCUAUAUCCUAAGUUUUCUCUGAGGUGUAAUUACUGCUAACUGAAUUAUCCCAAUACCUCACCAUGAAGACUUAAAAUAUAGUCAGCAUUGGCAAUUCCUGAUGAUCUCUAUAGAGA
This 131-nucleotide small nuclear RNA is filed under the name Rattus norvegicus (Norway rat). RNAcentral describes it as "U4 spliceosomal RNA". It matches the Rfam family "U4 spliceosomal RNA". From Rfam's summary of the family: U4 small nuclear RNA (U4 snRNA) is a component of the major U2-dependent spliceosome. The structure of U4 snRNA from yeast and human has been reported. Lineage: Eukaryota; Metazoa; Chordata; Mammalia; Rodentia; Muridae. The record is from Rfam by way of RNAcentral.